CAUGCAAGUCGAACGGCAGCGCGGGGCAACCUGGCGGCGAGUGGCGAACGGGUGAGUUAAUACAUCGGAACGUCCCAGAAGUGGGGGAUAACGUAGCGAAAGUUACGCUAAUACCGCAUGGGUUCUACGGAAGAAAGUGGGGGACCGCAAGGCCUCAUGCUUUUGGAGCGGCCGAUGUCUGAUUAGCUAGUUGGUGAGGUAAAGGCUCACCAAGGCGACGAUCAGUAGCUGGUCUGAGAGGACGACCAGCCACACUGGGACUGAGACACGGCCCAGACUCCUACGGGAGGCAGCAGUGGGGAAUUUUGGACAAUGGGGGCAACCCUGAUCCAGCAAUGCCGCGUGAGUGAAGAAGGCCUUCGGGUUGUAAAGCUCUUUUGUCAGGGAAGAAAAGGUGGGGGCUAAUAUCCCCCGCAUAUGACGGUACCUGAA
RNAcentral lists this ribosomal RNA (432 nucleotides) under uncultured Massilia sp. RNAcentral describes it as "bacterial SSU rRNA". It matches the Rfam family "Bacterial small subunit ribosomal RNA", at positions 54 to 483 of the family's 1533-position model. The record is from RNAcentral. Lineage: Bacteria; Pseudomonadati; Pseudomonadota; Betaproteobacteria; Burkholderiales; Oxalobacteraceae.